UCUUGACCUCAAAUCAGGCAGGACUACCCGCUGAACUUAAGCAUAUCAAUAAGCGGAGGAAAAGAAACUAACGAGGAUUCCCCUAGUAACUGCGAGUGAAGCGGGAAAAGCUCAAAUUUCGAAUCUGGCGGUCUUCGGCCGUCCGAGUUGUAAUCUAGAGAAGCGUCUUCCGCGCUGGACC
RNAcentral lists this ribosomal RNA (181 nucleotides) under Phylloporus sp. Its description in RNAcentral is "partial large subunit ribosomal RNA". It matches the Rfam family "Eukaryotic large subunit ribosomal RNA", at positions 1 to 176 of the family's 3401-position model. Lineage: Eukaryota; Fungi; Basidiomycota; Agaricomycetes; Boletales; Boletaceae. The record is from RNAcentral.